Molecule: ribosomal RNA, 253 nt
Filed under: uncultured bacterium
Lineage: Bacteria
Description: partial 16S ribosomal RNA
Rfam family: Bacterial small subunit ribosomal RNA
Source: RNAcentral
UACAGAGGUCCCAAGCGUUGUUCGGAUUCACUGGGCGUAAAGGGUGCGUAGGUGGUCAGGUAAGUCGGAUGUGAAAUCUCCGAGCUCAACUCGGAAACUGCAUUGGAAACUACCUGGCUCGAGGGUUGGAGGGGGGACUGGAAUGCUUGGUGUAGCAGUGAAAUGCGUAGAUAUCAAGCGGAACACCAGUGGCGAAGGCAGCCCCCUGGGAUAACACUGACGCUCAUGCACGAAAGCGUGGGGAGCAAACAGG